GGAAGCUUGUUUCUGUUCUGUGUCGUUCAGAAAAUUUGAAUUUUGUAGCACGUGGAUAGUUUUAAUUUCAAAGAAGCAUGCCCUAAAACUUAACCUGGAAUUGACAUUAUUCAUAUUGUAUUUCAUCAUUCGAAUAUAAAAAUGAAUUUGGGAAUAAAACGUAAUAAUGUAAAUUUAAAGAAAUUGAUAAAAGGAGACUCUGAGAUUGGUAAAAGGUUGCAGUCAGUGAGAUUACCUCCUGACCUUAGUCUUGGAGGACCAAAAUUGCCAAAAAGACAGUUUGCACCAAACCUGAACGCCACCAGAAAUAAAGAUAAACCUAAGGAGAUCUUGAAGAAAAAUGAGCACAAACACAAAGAAAGAAACAAUGAUAGGAAACCAAUUAAAUUCAAAGAGCAGAAUAUUAUUCAGUCGUCUGGAAUAUUUUCGGAGGGAGCUGGAGGUGAUAUUAUUCGAACUAGUCGAUGGACCCGAGGUGAUAAUGAUGGGAGUAGUGGCCUACCUUCUAUGACCAUGCCAACUUUCAAAAAACACUCCUAUCAGAUAGACAAAAGAACAGAAGACAAUGUAUUAGAUGACAUCAUAGGUUGCGAUGAAGAUAGUAAAGAUGAAAAACUUCCUUUCCAUCCAGUUCCAUGGCAAACUAAACAAAUUAUGCCAGUUAAACAAGAAAUAAAAAAGGAGGAACAUUUUGACUUCUCAAAUGUAAUGCAGGAUUUCAAUAGUGUAAAAUUGGAAUGUAGCGAUUAUCAGAUGGAUGACCACAAAGAAUAUUUAGGAGCAAAUAGUGCCAGUAAUGACAAUCCUUCAAUGGCCCUAUGGAGGUUGCCAGAUUCAUUUUCUGGAAAAGGUCUUAGUGAUGAUCCAAAUUGUAAAACGUUGUUUGAUUAUGGUCUAAAUGAUAUGAUAGAAGGUAAAAUAGGAAAACUUCUGAUAAGGAAAUCUGGGAAAGUGGAAGUGCAAAUCGGAAGAAUUAAAUACCAUCUGGAACCUAGUGAUGUUGACAUUUACAGAGAGAUGGCUAUUCAAGGACUUGAAGUAUUUCCCUUAAGAAAGUUUAUCUGUUACAUUUUAGUAGAAAAGCAUCAUUCUGAAUUUUUUGACAUGCAGCUGAACAAGUUUCCUUAAAACAACUAACCAAGAAGGACAGUAAUCGAAAUGGGGCCUAAUUAAGGCAACUUCCAUUAUGCACAGACAUUAUGCACAGGCAGGCCAAAGGAAGUCGUUUCUGUAGAGGCUGACAGCAAAAACCAAAUGGUAGCAGCCGUUUUAGGACAGAUCCAAAAUAGAUACUCUCUCUAUCCUG
Unclassified non-coding RNA from Leptinotarsa decemlineata (Colorado potato beetle), 1306 nucleotides. NCBI's taxonomy places the organism in Eukaryota, Metazoa, Arthropoda, Insecta, Coleoptera, Chrysomelidae. The record is from RefSeq and is a predicted model, not a curated record.